AUGCACGAUUUUGGAGAAGCCUCCGGACUACACAUCAACCCUUCAAAGUCGACGGCUUUACCCAUCAGAUGUGAGAAUAUAGACCUAGGGUUUGUGUUGCAAAAUUUCAAAGGGGCAGAGGGGCAAUUCUCGACCACCUAUUUAGGCCUGCCGCUGACACUAGCUAGACUACGACUAGCAAACAUACAAUUCAUCAUAGACAGGAUCAAGGCUCGACUUGCAGGAUGGAAAGGAAAACUCCUGCCAAUAGCCAGUAGGCGAGUAUUGGUUCGAUGUGUCCUCGGUGCUAUGCCCACUUUUGCCCUAACUAUUCUCAAAGUGCCAAAGAAGCUACUCAAGGAGAUCGACAGAUGCAGGCGUAGAUUUCUUUGGAAGCAAGAUGAGGCGAUCACAGGUGGUAGCUGCAAGGUUAACUGGUCGGUGGUGUGCACUCCUACAUCUCAUGGAGGACUAGGGAUCAUCGAUCUCGAACGUUUCAGCUGUGCCCUUAGAUUACGAUGGCUAUGGAUAGCCUGGUCUGACCCUGGGCGGCCUUGG
Molecule: ribosomal RNA, 537 nt
Filed under: Triticum aestivum (bread wheat)
Lineage: Eukaryota; Viridiplantae; Streptophyta; Magnoliopsida; Poales; Poaceae
Description: partial small subunit ribosomal RNA
Source: RNAcentral